GGGUUGUGAGGUUAAGCGACUAAGCGUACACGGUGGAUGCCCUGGCAGUCAGAGGCGAUGAAGGACGUGCUAAUCUGCGAAAAGCGUCGGUAAGGUGAUAUGAACCGUUAUAACCGGCGAUGUCCGAAUGGGGAAACCCAGUGUGAUUCGUCACACUAUCGUUAACUGAAUACAUAGGUUAACGAGGCGAACCGGGGGAACUGAAACAUCUAAGUACCCCGAGGAAAAGAAAUCAACCGAGAUUCCCCCAGUAGCGGCGAGCGAACGGGGAGCAGCCCAGAGUCUGAAUCAGCUUGUGUGUUAGUGGAACGGUCUGGAAAGUCCGACGGUACAGGGUGAUAGUCCCGUACACCAAAAUGCACAGGUUGUGAACUCGAAGAGUAGGGCGGGACACGUGGUAUCCUGUCUGAAUAUGGGGGGACCAUCCUCCAAGGCUAAAUACUCCUGACUGACCGAUAGUGAACCAGUACCGUGAGGGAAAGGCGAAAAGAACCCCGGCGAGGGGAGUGAAAAAGAACCUGAAACCGUGUACGUACAAGCAGUGGGAGCACCUUCGGGUGUGACUGCGUACCUUUUGUAUAAUGGGUCAGCGACUUAUAUUCUGUAGCAAGGUUAACCGUAUAGGGGAGCCGCAGGGAAACCGAGUCUUAACUGGGCGUUAAGUUGCAGGGUAUAGACCCGAAACCCGGUGAUCUAGCCAUGGGCAGGUUGAAGGUUGGGUAACACUAACUGGAGGACCGAACCGACUAAUGUUGAAAAAUUAGCGGAUGACUUGUGGCUGGGGGUGAAAGGCCAAUCAAACCGGGAGAUAGCUGGUUCUCCCCGAAAGCUAUUUAGGUAGCGCCUCGUGAACUCAUCUUCGGGGGUAGAGCACUGUUUCGGCUAGGGGGUCAUCCCGACUUACCAACCCGAUGCAAACUACGAAUACCGAAGAAUGUUAUCACGGGAGACACACGGCGGGUGCUAACGUCCGUCGUGAAGAGGGAAACAACCCAGACCGCCAGCUAAGGUCCCAAAGUCAUGGUUAAGUGGGAAACGAUGUGGGAAGGCACAGACAGCCAGGAUGUUGGCUUAGAAGCAGCCAUCAUUUAAAGAAAGCGUAAUAGCUCACUGGUCGAGUCGGCCUGCGCGGAAGAUGUAACGGGGCUAAACCAUGCACCGAAGCUGCGGCAGCGACACUAUGUGUUGUUGGGUAGGGGAGCGUUCUGUAAGCCUGCGAAGGUGACCUGUGAGGGUUGCUGGAGGUAUCAGAAGUGCGAAUGCUGACAUAAGUAACGAUAAAGCGGGUGAAAAGCCCGCUCGCCGGAAGACCAAGGGUUCCUGUCCAACGUUAAUCGGGGCAGGGUGAGUCGACCCCUAAGGCGAGGCCGAAAGGCGUAGUCGAUGGGAAACAGGUUAAUAUUCCUGUACUUGGUGUUACUGCGAAGGGGGGACGGAGAAGGCUAUGUUAGCCGGGCGACGGUUGUCCCGGUUUAAGCAUGUAGGCUGGUUGUCCAGGCAAAUCCGGAUAAUCAAGGCUGAGGUGUGAUGACGAGGCACUACGGUGCUGAAGUAACAAAUGCCCUGCUUCCAGGAAAAGCCUCUAAGCAUCAGGUAACAUCAAAUCGUACCCCAAACCGACACAGGUGGUCAGGUAGAGAAUACCAAGGCGCUUGAGAGAACUCGGGUGAAGGAACUAGGCAAAAUGGUGCCGUAACUUCGGGAGAAGGCACGCUGGUGUGUAGGUGAAGUCCCUGCGGAUGGAGCUGAGACCAGUCGAAGAUACCAGCUGGCUGCAACUGUUUAUUAAAAACACAGCACUGUGCAAACACGAAAGUGGACGUAUACGGUGUGACGCCUGCCCGGUGCCGGAAGGUUAAUUGAUGGGGUUAUCCGUAAGGAGAAGCUCUUGAUCGAAGCCCCGGUAAACGGCGGCCGUAACUAUAACGGUCCUAAGGUAGCGAAAUUCCUUGUCGGGUAAGUUCCGACCUGCACGAAUGGCGUAAUGAUGGCCAGGCUGUCUCCACCCGAGACUCAGUGAAAUUGAACUCGCUGUGAAGAUGCAGUGUACCCGCGGCAAGACGGAAAGACCCCGUGAACCUUUACUAUAGCUUGACACUGAACAUUGAGCCUUGAUGUGUAGGAUAGGUGGGAGGCUUUGAAGCGUGGACGCCAGUCUGCGUGGAGCCAACCUUGAAAUACCACCCUUUAAUGUUUGAUGUUCUAACGUUGGCCCCUUACCGGGGUUGCGGACAGUGUCUGGUGGGUAGUUUGACUGGGGCGGUCUCCUCCCAAAGCGUAACGGAGGAGCACGAAGGUUAGCUAAUCCUGGUCGGACAUCAGGAGGUUAGUGCAAUGGCAUAAGCUAGCUUGACUGCGAGCGUGACGGCGCGAGCAGGUGCGAAAGCAGGUCAUAGUGAUCCGGUGGUUCUGAAUGGAAGGGCCAUCGCUCAACGGAUAAAAGGUACUCCGGGGAUAACAGGCUGAUACCGCCCAAGAGUUCAUAUCGACGGCGGUGUUUGGCACCUCGAUGUCGGCUCAUCACAUCCUGGGGCUGAAGUAGGUCCCAAGGGUAUGGCUGUUCGCCAUUUAAAGUGGUACGCGAGCUGGGUUUAGAACGUCGUGAGACAGUUCGGUCCCUAUCUGCCGUGGGCGCUGGAGAAUUGAGGGGGGCUGCUCCUAGUACGAGAGGACCGGAGUGGACGCAUCACUGGUGUUCGGGUUGUCAUGCCAAUGGCACUGCCCGGUAGCUAAAUGCGGAAGAGAUAAGUGCUGAAAGCAUCUAAGCACGAAACUUGCCCCGAGAUGAGUUCUCCCUGAGACUUUAAGUCUCCUGAAGGAACGUUGAAGACGACGACGUUGAUAGGCCGGGUGUGUAAGCGCAGCGAUGCGUUGAGCUAACCGGUACUAAUGAACCGUGAGGCUUAACCUUACAACGCCGAAG
This 2923-nucleotide ribosomal RNA is filed under the name Klebsiella pneumoniae. RNAcentral describes it as "bacterial LSU rRNA". It matches the Rfam family "Bacterial large subunit ribosomal RNA". The record is from RNAcentral. Lineage: Bacteria; Pseudomonadati; Pseudomonadota; Gammaproteobacteria; Enterobacterales; Enterobacteriaceae.